RNAcentral lists this ribosomal RNA (206 nucleotides) under uncultured bacterium. RNAcentral's name for it is "partial 16S ribosomal RNA". It matches the Rfam family "Bacterial small subunit ribosomal RNA", at positions 568 to 774 of the family's 1533-position model. The record is from RNAcentral.
CACGUAGGCGGACUGGAAAGUUGGAGGUGAAAUCCCAGGGCUCAACCUUGGAACUGCCUCAAAACUAUCAGUCUGGAGUUCGAGAGAGGUGAGUGGAAUUCCGAGUGUAGAGGUGAAAUUCGUAGAUAUUCGGAGGAACACCAGUGGCGAAGGCGGCUCACUGGCUCGAUACUGACGCUGAGGUGCGAAAGCGUGGGGAGCAAACA